Molecule: ribosomal RNA, 790 nt
Filed under: uncultured bacterium
Lineage: Bacteria
Description: bacterial SSU rRNA
Rfam family: Bacterial small subunit ribosomal RNA
Source: RNAcentral
AGAGUUUGAUCAUGGCUCAGAGCGAACGCUGGCGGCGUGCUUAACACAUGCAAGUCGAGUGCGCGGUGCCGUAGCAAUACGGUACUGGCGCACGGCGCACGGGUGCGUAACACGUGGGUAAUCUGCCCUCUGAUGGGGAAUAACUCGCCGAAAGGCGAGCUAAUUCCGCAUAACAUUCCUUGGACUCCGGUCCGAGGAUUCAAAGGCGUAAGUCGUCGGAGGUGGAGCCCGCGCACGAUUAGCUAGUUGGUGAGGUAAUGGCUCACCAAGGCUAUGAUCGUUAGCUGGUCUGAGAGGAUGGCCAGCCACACUGGAACUGAGACACGGUCCAGACUCCUACGGGAGGCAGCAGUGGGGAAUCUUGCACAAUGGGCGAAAGCCUGAUGCAGCGACGCCGCGUGGGGGAUGAAGCUUCUCGGAGUGUAAACCCCUUUCGACCGGGACGAAUACCUCGCAAGAGGGGUGACGGUACCGGUAUAAGAAGCCCCGGCUAACUACGUGCCAGCAGCCGCGGUAAGACGUAGGGGGCCAGCGUUGCUCGGAAUUACUGGGUGUAAAGGGUUCGUAGGCGGUGUGGCAAGUCGGGAGUGAAAUCUCUGGGCUCAACUCAGGGGCUGCUUCCGAAACUGCCGUGCUAGAGUGUGGGAGAGGCGCGUGGAAUUGCAGGUGUAGCGGUGAAAUGCGUAGAUAUCUGCAGGAACACCCGUGGCGAAAGCGGCGCGCUGGACCACUACUGACGCUGAGGAACGAAAGCUAGGGGAGCAAACAGGAUUAGAUACCCUAGUAGUCC